CCAGACUCCUACGGGAGGCAGCAGUGAGGAAUAUUGGUCAAUGGGCGGGAGCCUGAACCAGCCAAGUCGCGUGAGGGAAGACGGUCCUAUGGAUUGUAAACCUCUUUAGGCGGGGAGCAAUGCCGGGCACGCGUGCCCGGAGGGAGAGUACCCGCAGAAUAAGCAUCGGCUAACUCCGUGCCAGCAGCCGCGGUAAUACGGAGGAUGCGAGCGUUAUCCGGAUUUAUUGGGUUUAAAGGGUGCGUAGGCGGGCUUUUAAGUCAGCGGUAAAAAUUCGGGGCUCAACCCCGUCCGGCCGUUGAAACUGGGGGCCUUGAGUGGGCGAGAAGAAGGCGGAAUGCGUGGUGUAGCGGUGAAAUGCAUAGAUAUCACGCAGAACCCCGAUUGCGAAGGCAGCCUUCCGGCGCCCUACUGACGCUGAGGCACGAAAGUGCGGGGAUCGAACAGGAUUAGAUACCCCUGUA
RNAcentral lists this ribosomal RNA (464 nucleotides) under uncultured bacterium. Its description in RNAcentral is "bacterial SSU rRNA". It matches the Rfam family "Bacterial small subunit ribosomal RNA", at positions 331 to 792 of the family's 1533-position model. The record is from RNAcentral.